RNAcentral lists this long non-coding RNA (1252 nucleotides) under Cyclopterus lumpus (lumpfish). RNAcentral's name for it is "lncRNA (ENSCLMG00005001520.1)". Lineage: Eukaryota; Metazoa; Chordata; Actinopteri; Perciformes; Cyclopteridae. The record is from RNAcentral.
CCAGAGGAGUGGGCUGGACCCCUCCCGGGUCCCACAAGGCCGAGUUGGCCCGCCGGGCUGCAGAGCUGGGGCUGGCUGAGGGAGUCACCACUGACGAGGCUAUUGCAAAUUAUCAGCACAUGAUGAUGAUGCAUCGCCAGCAGCAGAUGGAGCAGCAGCAGCAGAUGGAGCAGCAGCAGACUUCACAGCAGCUGGAGACCAGCGAGGAGACUCAACAAGGCGUCAACAUGGACGCCAUGGAGGUCCUUCACGUCAAGAGGAAAAAGACCAUCCAGACUGUCCAGAAAAAGUCCACCAGCACCACCUCAUCGUCAUUUAAAUCCAUGGAGAAGAAAUCCAGCACCACCUCCUCCUCUUCAUCAGCUGCCCUCCACAACACAGUGGAGACAUCCAUGUCUAGUAAAGCGUCUGCGAUAAAAGAAGCGUAGAUACUUGUUUAUAGGUGAUAGUGUGUAGAGAUGGCCACUUUAAGAAAGUGUGGUUAACUUUACAAGUGGUAUUUGUGGUAUCUAUUUUGACGAAGUGACUCUGUAGUUACACAACGCGCCACACUGAUAUCCAACGGAGCUACUGUAGGUGCAAUAAUGAACUGUAAAAUGUCUAAGGGAUGAUACGCAUGUUGAAUCAGGAAAGGAAUUGUCAAGUUAAUUAAAAGCAUUGUCAAUGUAUGUGGUGAGCAAAAAAGGGAAUUUAGAAAGAAACUUUAUUUUCAGAUUUAAUUAAUGCAAGGUAUCUUUUGACAUUUGAUGAACAAUUGAAUGGGUUGUAUUGCCUCUAAAGAACCCUGCUCAAUACCAGGUCAAGGAAAACAUCAAGAAUGACUAGACUGUUUCGGGUUGUUUCAAGUUAAACGUCAUACUGUGUGAAAUAUGAAAGUUUAAAUGAUGUAUAUCAAAUGUGUUUAGAAGAUAUGUAGCUGGGCUAGCUGUAUGGCCAGCACUGGAGAGGAUCUUUUUCAUCGUUUUAUUAUUUUUUUUAUCUUUCGAGAUGAAAACAGACUGCGAGUUCAAAUGAACAAAGGCCACCUUGCGGUUUUCAAACAUGCGGUUUCCUAACGAGGUCUGCUAAUCUAGUGCACUUUGAGCUCGGCUCAGUGAGAAAGAAGUAAAGGCCUCCUGAAAUGAUGUGUGAUCUACAUUGUGUCUGGCAGGUUCAGCUUUUUGAGUUUGUAUCAAUGCCCCUCUUUAAUUUAAAGCUGGGCUGGGAGUAAAUACUUGGUUUUAUCGCUGAUAAAAAUAAACUUUUCAAAGCA